CGAGACGAAGAUAUGGGUGAC
Molecule: microRNA, 21 nt
Filed under: Arabidopsis lyrata
Lineage: Eukaryota; Viridiplantae; Streptophyta; Magnoliopsida; Brassicales; Brassicaceae
Description: aly-miR774a-5p.1
Gene: aly-miR774a-5p.1
Source: miRBase by way of RNAcentral